UACGUAGGGGGCGAGCGUUGUCCGGAUUUAUUGGGCGUAAAGAGCUCGUAGGCGGUUUGGUAAGUUGGAUGUGAAAUCUCCAGGCUCAACUUGGAGGGGUCAUUCGAUACUGCCAUGACUAGAGUUCGGUAGGGGAGUGUGGAAUUCCUGGUGUAGCAGUGAAAUGCGUAGAUAUCAGGAGGAACACCGAUGGCGAAGGCAGGUCUCUGGGCUGACACUGACGCUCAUGCACGAAAGCGUGGGGAGCAAACAGG
Molecule: ribosomal RNA, 254 nt
Filed under: uncultured bacterium
Lineage: Bacteria
Description: partial 16S ribosomal RNA
Rfam family: Bacterial small subunit ribosomal RNA
Source: RNAcentral